RNAcentral lists this ribosomal RNA (1441 nucleotides) under metagenome. RNAcentral describes it as "bacterial LSU rRNA". It matches the Rfam family "Bacterial large subunit ribosomal RNA", at positions 1496 to 2925 of the family's 2925-position model. The record is from RNAcentral.
UAACGGAUUGAGGUGCCAGACGCGUAGGACGUUGAAGGGUGUAGGUAAGUCCGCACCCCGAGUCCGAAACGUGAUGGGGUGCCUUAGAGCCACAAGUGAUUGAGCCAUGCCGCCUAGAAAAGCUUCUAAGCGUUGAUAUUUGAGUGACCGUACCGCAAACCGACACUGGUAGGUGGGUAGAAUAUACCAAGGGGAGCGAGAGAACCUUCGUUAAGGAAUUAGGCAAAUUUCCCCCGUACGUUCGCAAUAAGGGGGGCCUCUGGUGGUGAGCUUAAUCGCAAAGCUGCUGGAGGCCGCAGAGAAAUGGCUCUUCCAACUGUUUAACAAAAACACAGGUCUCUGCUAAGUCGAAAGACGAAGUAUAGGGGCUGACGCCUGCCCAGUGCUGGAAGGUUAAGGGGAGAGGUUAGGCGCAAGCCGAAGCUUUGAGCCGAAGCCCCAGUGAACGGCGGCCGUAACAAUAACGGUCCUAAGGUAGCGAAAUUCCUUGUCGGGUAAGAUCCGACCCGCACGAAUGGCGUAAUGAGAGGAGCACUGUCUCAACGAGGGACUCGGCGAACAUUGAAGGACGUGUGAAGAUACACGUGACCCGCAGCGGGACAAAAAGACCCCGUGAAGCUUUACUACAACUUGCCAUUGAGUUAGGGCUAAACCUGUGUAGUAUAGGUGGGAGGCUUUGAAGCUGGGACGCCAGUCUCGGUGGAGCCACCGUUGAAAUACCACCCUGGUUUAUUCUUGGCUCUAACCUGUCGCCGUUAUCCGGCAUGGGAACAGUGGCUGGUGGGUAGUUUGACUGGGGCGGUCGCCUCCGAAAGCGUAACAGAGGCGCCCAAAGGUUCCCUCAGGCUGAAUGGAAACCAGCCGUUGAGUGUAAAGGCACAAGGGAGCUUGACUGCAAGACCAACAAGUCGCGCAGGGACGAAAGUCGGGCUUAGUGAUCCCACGGUUCAGAGUGGAAUGGCCGUGGCUUACCGGAUAAAAGCUACUCCGGGGAUAACAGGGUAGUCUGGUCCAAGAGUUCAUAUCGACGACCAGGUUCGCCACCUCGAUGUCGGCUCAUCACAUCCUGGGGCUGGAUAAGGUCCCAAGGGUUGGGCUGUUCGCCCAUUAAAGUGGUACGUGAGCUGGGUUCAGACCGUCGUGAGACAGGUCGGUCUCUAUCCGCUGUGGGCGUAAGGGAUUUGAGAGAAGCUGCCCCUAGUACGAGAGGACCGGGGUGGACGGACCUCUAGUGUGCCAGUUGUUCUGCCAAGAGCAUUGCUGGGUAGCUACGUCCGGCAGAGAUAACCGCUGAAAGCAUCUAAGUGGGAAACUCGUCUCAAGAUUAGAUCCCUCAUCCGUAUGGAGUAAGACCGCUAGAAGACGACUAGUUUGAUAGGCGGCAGGUGUAAGCGCAGUAAUGUGUUCAGCUUAGCCGUACUAAUGGUCGAGGGCUUACGUU